This 1103-nucleotide ribosomal RNA is filed under the name uncultured Microgenomates group bacterium. Its description in RNAcentral is "bacterial SSU rRNA". It matches the Rfam family "Bacterial small subunit ribosomal RNA", at positions 8 to 1095 of the family's 1533-position model. The record is from RNAcentral.
AGAGUUUGAUCCUGGCUCAGGAUGAAUGCUAGCGGUGUGCCUGAGAUAUGCAAGUCGAGCGAUUGUUUUGCCGCAAGGUGAAAUAGUAGCGGCGGACGGCUGAGUAAUAUACAGGAAUUUGCCCCUAAGUGAAACAUAGCUCCGGGAAACCGGGGGUAAUUUUUCAUAGUCUCACCCUUUGGGUGAGUAAAGGCCUUAACCGGUCGCUCAGGGAUGAGCCUGUAUCCUAUCAGGUAGUUGGUAGAGUAAUAGCCUACCAAGCCUAUGACGGGUAGCUGAUCUGGGAGGAUGAUCAGCCAGAGGGGGACUGAGACACGGCCCCCACUCCUACGGGAGGCAGCAAUCAGGAAUAGUCGGCAAUGGGCGAAAGCCUGACCGCGCGACACCGCGUGUAGGAUGAAGGUCUAAUCGAUCGUAAACUACUGUUGUAGGGGAAGAAGAUCUGCCGUAAGGCAGGUUUGACGGUACCCUGCGAGAAAGGAGCCGCUAACUGCGUGCCAGAAGCGUCGGUAAUACGUGGGCUUCAAGCAUUAUCCGGUUUUAUUGGGCGUAAAGGGUCGUGUAGGCGGUUUUAUAAGGUAUCUUUGAAAGCUCGAUGCUUAACAUCGAGUUGAAGAUACGACUGUAAAGACUAGAUUUUCUUCAAGGGUAAUCGGAACUCAGAGAGGAGUAGUGAAAUGCGUUGAUACUCUGGGGAACACCAAUGGCGAAGGCAGAUUACUGGGAGGAAAAUGACGCUGAGACACGAAAGCUAGGGGAGCGAAGCAGAUUAGAGACCUGCGUAGUCCUAGCCCUAAACGAAUGUCUGCUACCUGCAUCUUCAUCUCGCCGUAAGGCAAGAUAAGGUGUGGGAAAGGUAACCCGUUAAGCAGAUCGCCUGGGGAGUACUGCCGCAAGGUUAAAACUCAAAGGAAUUGGCGGGGAGGCACACAACCAGUGGAACAUGUGGUUUAAUUUGAUACAAACCAAAGAACCUCACCAAGUCUUGACAUGCUAGCGUCCAGUUCUGUGGAAACACGGAAUGUUCGCAAGAAGGCUAGCACAGGUGCUGCAUGGCUGUCGUCAGCUCGUUCCGUGAGGAGUGCCCUUAAGUGGGACAACGA